Molecule: long non-coding RNA, 1540 nt
Filed under: Malus domestica (apple)
Lineage: Eukaryota; Viridiplantae; Streptophyta; Magnoliopsida; Rosales; Rosaceae
Description: long non-coding RNA (MDOM_LNC019540)
Source: RNAcentral
GCAACAACAAGGUUGGAAUGAUGUUGAAGGGUUGGUUAUUUGGAGGAAUGGAUGGGAAGGGGUUUAGAUAUGUAGGAGAGGCAAGGAAAGGCUUGGAGAAUGGUUAAUUUCUGGAUGAUUUGAAUGAGGUUGAUGCCAUGGUAUUUAUAGGAAGAGGAUGGACUUGUUUAACACAAAAUGUUGGUGGAAUUGAGUAGGUGAGCAUGGCAAAGAGUGGGAAUUGUUGGUGGGUUAGGUAUUGAGUCAUCCACUCACAUGUCAUGGUGAGCUAAGCAUUGCAUCAUCCACUCACAUGUCAUGGUGAGUUAAGCAUUGCAUCAUUACUCAAAUUUCUGGUGGAGGUGGAAGUAAAAGCCACGGCAUUGAUGUGUUUUGAGUGAAGUUUUGGCCAAUCCUUCUAGAAAUUUAUCCCUUCUUGCAACUUGUAUUUGUUUCACCAGAUUUUUAGCAUGUUCUUAGCCUCUUUUGUCUUCAAAUUCGUCCAUCCAUCUUGCUCAUAUCAUAUGUAAUCCAUUCCAAGCUCAAAACUGCUCCAAAAUGCACCAAAAUGCACUUUCUUGCUACCUUAGCCCUUUGGACCUACAAACACACGAAAAUGGCUUAAAGUACUAAAAUAACUAAGAACUAAUAACGUAAAUGCAAGAAAACUAGUUAACUAAGUCGCAUAAAUAUGCGUCUAUCACCUUGGCGAAUUCAAAUCCUCCCCUUGGAUUCACAAUGGUUGAACUAGGCAGUUUGCCUUGUUCUCUAAACUGUCCCAUGAACUCCACUACUUGCCUCAUUAGCUUCUUCAAUUCGUCUACCUCUUUAGCUUUAUUUUGCAUCUCUUUGGUUUGAUUUUGUAUUCCUUGCAUCAAAGAGGUGAGUGAUGCGUAAAAUAACUAAACACACAAAUUAACCCUCUUGUUGACAAUUGUAGUAUGGAUAAGUAGGGAUCGUUCUUAAACCGGGGAUUAGGAGGGAUUGCUAAAACACUCUAAACUGACUCAAAUCUGUAAAACAAGGUUUAAAAUACUAAACUAGACUCAAAGAAUGCAAAACUAAACUCUAAAACACUAAAACAAACCAAAAGACUCAAAACAGCAAAAAAACACUCAAAACUGCCUAAAAACCACUUUCUGGGCAGUUUUGGGACUCUAACACAACUUGAACGAAUUUUGGUUUUCUAAUGACCUAAAACACCUAAAAACAUAUUCUAAGACAAGUUCUAGUUAAUAUGACUCAAAGAAAUAAGAUGGGGUUGAUUUUGGACGAAAAUAAAUAAAACAAAGCAAGAACAAUGUAAACAGAUUUUUAGACAGAAUUAAGUAAAUUGAUGAGUGAUAGACUAACUAGAGGGUUCUUCUCCACACAUGAUACACUUGCAUUCAACUUUGAUUUCCAAUUGCUUCUUUCAAUAAACUAUGAAUCUCAACGCCCUAGGUUAACUGUGAUAGCACUUUUUUCACCUUCAAGUUUUCCUAAAGUUAGUGAAUUGGAUGGGAAUGCACAUGCAAUAACUCAAAACAUUCUCUAAAAGUCCCUUACGUGAAAAGCACAA